Long non-coding RNA from Homo sapiens (human), 843 nucleotides. Ensembl annotates it as TEX26 antisense RNA 1. Its record names the gene TEX26-AS1. NCBI's taxonomy places the organism in Eukaryota, Metazoa, Chordata, Mammalia, Primates, Hominidae. The record is from Ensembl.
GUGACGCGUCGCCAUGGAGACAAGGAUCGGGUUCCAGGGAGUUCUGCCCCUGCCAAGGGGUGCUGGCCACGCAGGAGGCUUAACCUGGCCGGCGCGGGAAUGGGGUGCAGAGAGCAAAGAAAUGUGGCUUUGAUCUUAUGGAUGCCUUACUUUUACAUUAUUUGUACAGUUCUUGCAGUGAGCUUUCCGGACCACUGUCUUGUAUGUUUCCUAAGAAAAGCAAAAAGGGAAGAGAUUGAAGAGAAAGUAGAUUUUCAACUACAAACUUUCAUCCAUUUGCUUUCAGCUUAAGCAAAUGUGCGCAAAGUUGUCAUGGAUUUUUGCAGUCAAUAAAAACCAAGCAAGAAGACUGAAUCCCAAGUCAUCUGGUAUAAAUGGAAGCAGUUUCUGUGAUAGUUCCACGCGGUCAGAAGGGUCAUCCUGGCUUAGGAGAGGGGCAGAAGAGGAAAUGCACGCGUGGAAACAGGAGUGGGCAGGGAGGAUGUGACACUGUCCUCCUCACCAGGCCACGUUCCUGGCACCAACCAUAGUGUUUGGGCAGAUAAGAAAAGAAACAAUUUGCUGAAACUCCCUCUGCUUAUAACAAAACUGACUGAAAUCAGCCGGAAUCAAUAUGGCCAAAUGCAGUUUGCGCACAGCAAGCUUGCUGAUGUCACAGCCUGAAUUUCUACUGCAUGUUUCAUACCAACUCCCUCCAAAUUUGCACAUGGGACCCACCAGGAAGCAUGAAGAGAGAGCCAUGCAUGCCUGAAGACUUCCCAGAUGUUCCCUUUGCUUCCACCAAUCACCUGCUAACCCCAGGAUCCAACCCUAAACCUUUUGUAAUAAAAUUACUGCCCUAAA